This is a non-coding RNA of Biomphalaria pfeifferi, 356 nucleotides long. The record is from the annotation of a GenBank genome assembly. Lineage: Eukaryota; Metazoa; Mollusca; Gastropoda; Planorbidae.
AUUAUGUAUUUUUUAUUCUUUAUUUCACUUCAAUAUGAAAUACAAGCUAAAGAAAACAUCAUUCCAAAAUGUAUCACUCAAUAUAUACAUAAAUACUCUCUCUAUAAAUAGUAUCACAAAAAGUAUACAACUUUAAUUUAUUUUUACAAACACCUCAUUAUUGACUUGAAAGUUUGCUUAUAAAUAGUUUGUUUAUUUUCCCUCUUAUAGUGGGUAUAUUCUGAACUAAAAUCUCAUUACAGAAAGUAAAAAAACUCCCAUCAUGAAGAAGGUCUGUUUCCAUUACAAAAUAAUGCUAGAAUACUAAAUAAAAGUAGAUCUACCAUCCUCUCCCCCUCCAUCUUUUUUUCUCAAUC